Long non-coding RNA from Myxocyprinus asiaticus (Chinese sucker), 946 nucleotides. RefSeq lists it as uncharacterized. The transcript has 3 exons. The record is from RefSeq and is a predicted model, not a curated record. NCBI's taxonomy places the organism in Eukaryota, Metazoa, Chordata, Actinopteri, Cypriniformes, Catostomidae.
UUUGCCAAGAGUGAAGAUCGCACAGAGUGCAUUGAGUCAGAAGUCUUCAUGCCUUCCUUGUUAAGCUUUGCAGUAAAUAAAUAUAUAACAUGCAUUUAUAGACGGCUAAGAUCCUAUUCUUGGGAAUUCCUUGAAUAGUGAUUGAAGUAGAUUUUGUCAUAGGCUCAGGUUGGUUGUUUUUAAAGGAUGAUGGAUCAGAGCUGGAGCCUGUGGAUUGGAGUUCUGGUGCUGUUCUCUCUGGAUUUCUGGGUAUCUACAGAUGAUCUUGGAUCUCCAAACCAGUCCUGGAGGAACAGUGAUGUCCAAGUCGAAAGCAACAACAAUCAAGAGCAGCAGAUUUUGAGAAACAAAGGCAGAGUCUGCCACAGUGGUGCCGAAACCCGGGACAGGAGGAAGACGCAACAUCAGAAAAGCCCUCGCCGCUAGUGUUGGGUCGCCACGCCGAAGAGGUAUAAUAUGGUGGUACUGGAGUGGUUCGCCCGAGAUGAAGGAGCCGCUGCCUUCCGCCAGGGGGUGGGGGAAGCUCACUGCCGUCCGCCAGGAAGUGGAAGAGCCGCUGCCGGUCACUAGAGGGCGGAGGAGCUGCUACUAUCCACCAGGGGGUGGAGAAGCCAUUCACCGUGAGUUGGAGGAGCCGCUGACAUCUGCUGGGAGGCGGAGGAGCUCGCUACCAUCUGCCAGGAGGGUCCAAAGAGGCGUGGAAGACCUGCCAGCAGAAGGAUGGCCAGAAGGGCAACACCUCCCCUCCAGGAAGGGGUGUUGGAGGAGUGUGACGAGGAGGAGGGCGUGGCCGAGCCAUGAGGAUGCUCGCCCAGCGCUGAAUCGUACUAAUCAGCCGGGAGGGGGAUAAGGACGAGCCGGAGAAGCCAGUUGGAGAGAGAGACGCACGUGUCUGUGUGUGUGCAUCUAUGUUUCGUUGUAAUGUGUAAAUUUGAGUUUUAAAUUA